GUGGAUUAGAUACCCGGGUAGUCCUAGCCGUAAACGAUGGAUACUAGGUGUAGGGAGUAUCGACCCUCUCUGUGCCGUAGCUAACGCGUUAAGUAUCCCGCCUGGGGAGUACGGUCGCAAGAUUGAAACUCAAAGGAAUUGACGGGGGCCCGCACAAGCGGUGGAGUAUGUGGUUUAAUUCGAUGCAACGCGAAGAACCUUACCAGGGCUUGACAUGUCGCGAAUCCUCUUGAAAGGGAGGAGUGCCUUCGGGAGCGCGAACACAGGUGGUGCAUGGCCGUCGACAGCU
Molecule: ribosomal RNA, 289 nt
Filed under: uncultured bacterium
Lineage: Bacteria
Description: partial 16S ribosomal RNA
Rfam family: Bacterial small subunit ribosomal RNA
Source: RNAcentral